UACCUGAAGCUUGUACUCAGCCUACCCGGCAGGCCCAGAGAGCAAAUCAGGUGCACCUACAGGUUAACGAUGGGCAAUCAGAUAGCUCAGAUCGCGGUGUCGGCACAGUUUCCUUGAGCCACAGACUGUUAAAAGCCUCGAAAGCACAGCAAAGUUGAUACGGUGGGAUUUCAAAACUUUUCAAACCAUGACUUGAGAGAGACUCAACGAAUACAUCAAAUAGGUGCUGUUUUAUGUGUACAUUCAUGUUUAAAUUGUUAGUCAGCACCACUGUCAACACUUUGUUCUAUACGUUUUAUAAGUCAUAAACUGCACACGUUUACAACCAGCAUUACAGCUGCAAUGAAUGAGUAUAGCAAAGUGUUCCAAUAAACUUGCUUUGUUAUUAUUAGAAUAUAAGGCGAACGCGGCAAAUGUUUCGUGUUCUAAUCUCAUCAUGGACAACUUUAGCAUUUUAGCUACUUUGCAACUAUUUAGCAUGUUAGUCAACCCUUCCCCUAACCCUUAUAAUAGCCUAGCUAAUGUAACCGUUAGCCAAUUAACAACAAGUAAUUGAAAUUCGUAACAUAUCACUUCAUUUAUAUAGCAAAUUUGUACUAAUUGUAAUUCGUAACAUUUCAUUUGAAAUAUAUGAUGGACGUCCACAAAUUAAUACAUGUCAUAUAAAACGUAACAUAUCAUGCAAAAUGGUGGAGACAGAUUUACAUUUACUAUGUUGGCUGGUGAUCACUGCUUUAAAGCAACGUAGGGCCUUGCGGCCAGAUGUUGUUGCAUUGUUUGUAGACAGACCUUUAUAUACAGUACCAGUCAAAAGUUUGGACACACAUACUCAUUCCAGGGUUUUUCUUAAUUUGAACUAUUUUCUACAUUGUAGAAUAAUAGUGGAGACAUCAAAAUUAUGAAAUAACACAUAUGGAAUCAUGUAGUAACCAAAAAAGUGUUAAACAAAUCAAAAUAUAUUUUAUAUUUGAGAUUCUUCAAAGUAGCCACCCUUUGCCUUGAUGACAGCUUUGCACAUGUUGGCAUUCUCUCAACCAGCUUCAUGAGGUGCAUUUCAAUUAACCGGUGUGCCUUAUUAAAAGUUCAUUUGUGGAAUUUCUUUAAUUCUUAAUGUGUUUGAGCCAAUCAGUUGUGUUGUGACAAGGUAGGGAUGGUAUACAGAAGAUAGCCGUAUUUUGUAAAAGACCAAGUCCAUAUUAUGGCAAGAACAGCUCAAAUAAGCAAAGAGAAAUGACAGUCCAUCAUUACUUUAAGACAUAAAUCUCAGUCAAUCCGGACAAUAUCAAGAACUUUGUUUCUUCAAGUGCAGUUUCAAAAAUCAUCAAGCUCUAUGUUAAAACUGGCUCUCACAAGGACUGCCACAGGAAAAGAAGACCCAGAGUUACAUCUGCUGCAGAAGAUAUGUUCAUUAGAGUUACCAGCCUCACAAAUUGCAGCUCAAGUAAUUGCUUCACAGAGUUCAACAGACACAUCUCAACAUCCACUGUUCAGAGGAGACUGCGUGACUCAGGACUUCAUGGUCGAAUUGCUGCAAAGAAACCACUACUAAAGGACAGCAAUAAUAAGAAGAGACUUACUUGGGCAAAGAAACACGAGCAAUGGACAUUAGACCGGUGGAAAUCUGCCCCUUUGGUCUGAUGAGUCCAAAUUUUAGAUUUUUGGUUCCAACCGCCGUGUCUUUGUGAGACGCAGAGUAGGUGAACGGAUGAUCGCCGCAUGUGUGGAAAAGCAUUCCAGGUGAAGCUGGUUGAGAGAAUGCCAAGCGUGUUCAACAAGGUAAAGGGUGGCUACUUUGAAGAAUCUAAAAUAUAUGCUUCGUCAACAUCUGGAAUGUGCAUUGUAGUCUUCAUCAAGCCCAGGCUGCUCUGUUGUCCAUUAUGUGAGCGAUAAUGCCUAUUACUACUAUCUAUACGUUCAUCACACAUUCACAAAAACACUAGAUAGAUCUACUUCCCUCACAGACCAAAGUUUGAUUGUGAAUAGGUCAACAAAUUCUAGCAUAUGGAGGGUGCUGUCUUACUGUUUUCCCAAACAGAUCCUGUUUACCAUUUGAUUAUGCUCUAUAAAAUAUUUUUAAGGGGCAAAAGGAAAUCAUGUAAGUUCACUGAGGCACAGAUAGAACAAUGAGCCAGAUAUUUCACCAGAUGUGUAAAUGUGAAGCAUCCGGGUGGCGUUUCCACCCACUACCAAAUAUGGUGAUGAGAGGAAGCCCAGUGGCCGCUAGUGGAAAAAAUGGGCCGAGAUGGAUUUUGGCCAACAUUCUGCACCUUUUCUCAUCGAUGGAAUAGUUUUCUUUCUGUUUCCAAAACUAGAAUCUGUAACAAACCGAGUGGACGGCGUUUUGUAGACUUUACACUUUGCCAAAGUUUCGAAAAUUGUUUAGAAGUUAUUGCGCACAGAGUAGCCGUUCCCCUAAGGGAAAUAUGCAAAUAAAUGUCAGCACGCGCCAAUAGGCUCUCACUAGCUCGUGUUUGGUUCUGCCAACCUCCUUGCUUGUUCGGCCCACUAUGAUACAUUUGCUCCCGUUGGAAACGACAGGCUCUGGUCUAUCUUGGGUUAGUUAUACAAAUCUUUGACUGAUGUGUUGGUCCGUCUGACUCCAGGUUGUGGCGAUAGUGCGCAACAGUAUGGAGCAGAUUUCACGCCAUAUGUAUUGAAUUUAAAAUAAAAUAAAUCGUAAACAUGAAAAAUAAAGUUGAAAAUGCAAACAGUAUAUUUUCGAGGAAGGGUGAAAUAAUGGAUGUUGAAAUCAAAAACCGAACAAUUAAAGCAAAAUGUAUAGAUUUGUAAACAAAAAUAAUGACAUCAAAAGCAAAACCUCCAAACUUGCAGGCAAAUAAUUUUAAAGCGAGAGCUAAGCUUUAUGACAAAUGAUUAAAACAAAUAUUUGAAAAUGAAUGCAAAAUCGUUUUCAGUUUAACUUUCCCAACAACCAAUCAUAUUGAAUCAAUUUUGCCUACGCUCUUGCCUGCAUUUACUACAUUUUGGUUACGUUACUCAUAUCCUUGCUUUCGAUGUCUGUUUUUUUGCUUUCUCUCCCAGUGUUUUCAAUACCGAGUUGUGUCAUUAUUUUUCCGUGAAGGGCGGGGUUUAGAGGGAGGCGUAGACAAUGAGUCUCCAUUGGUCCACUAGUUCUGGAGUGACGGUUCAUCCUAACCCAAUCAGUGAACAUGAUAUACAGGAUUUUCUUUCUAUUGGCUACUUAACCAGAUGGCCUGACUCCACUACCACCCGCCAAAUCUUUCCCCCAUGUACUAAACAUGACGAAUCAGUUAUCAACACCUGCGCCGAACUUUGGGCAACAGGCGUUAUGGAGAAGCUCCUCAACAGAUUGCAGCAGGCAAUGCAACACCUUCCUCUGGUUUUUGAUUAGUUUGCCAGCACCAAUGAGAUUAUAAUUAUCAGAUCACUAGCAAAUCAAGUAGACUUGCCUCAAAAGGUAGUGCAGGGUCUUUCCAACCUGUAUAGUCUAGUCAAUGCUGAAAUGGAAGAAAGAUGUGCCCCAUCAAUUGUUGAGUUGGAUGGUGAAAUGGGACGUCCUAAACUGAUUGUGUCAGAACAGCACCUUCGACAGGUGAUUGAAAUGGAUCUGCCUGUACCUUGCAACUGCUUGGCAUCUCAUCAAAAACUGACUAACGUAGAAUGCAGGAAUACGGUAUCAUGGUGAGGGGAACAUACAGCCAAAUGAUAGACGAGGAGCUGGACAAUCUGGUGGACACAAUCAAGACAAGUUCACCACAAUUAGGAUGGUGAGUUAACGUCUGAAAGCACUGGGUCAUCGAGUCCAGUGGACCCGAGUGUGGGACUCAGUGCAUCGUGUAGAUGAUGCAGGAAUACAGGAAAGAAUGGCACAACUUGGAUGUGUUGUCAGAAGAACAUACUCUGUUUGUCUUUCACUCAUACAUGUGGACACCAACCACAAGUUGAUCAGUGUCAUCAAACCAGAUCUGUGGACACAAACGGGAAAAGAGCUCGGGAGAUAAUGAGCGAGAAUCUUGAGGUCACCUACAAGGGAGAAGAGCGUGACUUUCUGAAGAAUGAGUCAAUACAAAGGAAACAAGACGAGGAAAAAGGCAAAAGAGAAGUUGGAGAAGACUGCUCAGAGGCACUGUUAGCAGAUUCCAAACCAAGGGAUGAAAAGGCUUUCUUUUUUACCCUGUGAAAGGAUGAAAAGGAUGCAUGAACAUAAAAUUCAGACUGAUCAACAAAUGUGUCCUACCUCAUUGAUCUGUGUUGUAAAUAAAGAGCACCUAUUGAAAUCAAUUAUAUUUAUCAAUCUGUCUAAGAGGAAUGUCAGUAUUUUCUAUCAUUUUAAUGGAAAUAAGUUGUAUUAUACUGAGCAAUAAAUACAAAGAUGCAAACAA
Long non-coding RNA from Salvelinus fontinalis (brook trout), 4364 nucleotides. RefSeq lists it as uncharacterized. The record is from RefSeq and is a predicted model, not a curated record. The transcript has 3 exons. NCBI's taxonomy places the organism in Eukaryota, Metazoa, Chordata, Actinopteri, Salmoniformes, Salmonidae.